AUUAAGCAAGUGCUGUAAUUUUCUCCAGUUGACAAAUGAGGAAAUCGAUACUCAGAGAGCUUCAGAGAGUUGCUCACUCAGUUAAUAAGAGAUUGUAUUUGUCAAAAUAUUCUAGGUUAUGCUACAGUAAUCAAUAAUCCUCAAAGCCCACCAAAUGGUGCUCAAAUUCCAUGCCUUAAAGCAACAGAAAAUUAUUCCUUAUGUGUACUACUAGCUCAUGUAAUCACUCAAAGACCCAGACUGAGGGAGGCUCCACCAUUUUGAAGCCUCACAAUGUGGGAACGUGGCCCUUGGUUGCCAUGGCAGUGAAGAGAAUGCUGGAGCAGUUAUAUUCUGGAAAUGAUAUACAUCACUUCUGCUUACAGCACAUUGGCCAAAACUUGUCACAUGGUCCUGCCUAAUGGCACACUGGCGAGCUGGUACUCCUCCCUACACCUUGACGAAGAGGUGAACCAAAAUGGCUGACUAAUCAAAGUUACUAUGUCAGAGGCAGACUUUGAGCUCUUCACCACCAUCUGAUACUAUUGCCCUUGAGAAGAAUGAUCUCCUGCUGGAUGAGAGGAUCACAGUGGCUGUGUGGAGCUUCAUUAUUCAUUCUCCUCCAUCCAUCUUAAUCCUACCAUGCCUGUCACUGGAUCCCAAAGAGGCACAAUUAGGACCUCCCCUCAGGAGUCCUUCUGGCCUCUGCCCAGCUCCUAUGCUGUUCAAGACCAAUACUUGAUGCCCAGUGGCCCACGUUUUUUAACCUUUGGGAUUCAUGUGAUCAGCACCCACACAGCUGGGAAUCACUGAGUCACAGGCUGAGCAGCUGCUUGCAUCUUUUCUGCCUGGAAACAAGAUUUGUAGGGCAGAGUGGAUCUGCCUCCCACCCUUCUGGCAGGCUCCUGUGGCUCUCGGCAUUCCUGCUGCAAAGCCUUGUGAAGCACGUCUUUAACUUCUCAGAGAAGUGUUUAACAAAUGUCACCAUCCAGAGCUGACAGGCACAGUGGUCUUAGACCUGGAAGCCUCAGAUAUGAACAUCUUGGCAGGAAUCUCCAUCACGUUUCUGGAUAUGGGUUUGGAAUGUGUUCACCGACCUGCCCUUUACAAUUCAUUGAUUUUUGGGUUUGUUUACUUUUUCAACUCAUUCUCCAGGCAAGACGCAGUUUCUUCCUCCAGGUAAGAUGCAGUCAACAGCGAGAGAGGCUAAGAAGAGUCCAAGGGAAAGAUGUGUUUGCAAACAUUGCUUUUGGAUAGAACACUCUUUUUCUAGAACAAGUAGAGAAAGAGGGAGUUUAAAAAGUCAACAUAAUACCGAUAGGAGACAAAUAAUUGAACACAAAGAAAACAGAAUUUAUCCUUGAAACUGAAAGAACAGCAUACCUCUGGAAGUUACCUUCUAUAGGAAGCAGCAGGAUUAAAACAAACACAACUCUUUGUUCCUCAAUCUUCUCCUUUUAACCUAGUCUUUCCUCCUGGUUUUUUCAUUUCGUUUCAUAGAGUCCAAGUUGUUUUUAUAUCCUUUGUGUAGAGCAAAGUCAAUGAACAGAGAACAUAAAGGAUAUUAAAGAAAUAACUGCAAAGAAACAGAACUUGGAGUGCUAGAAAUGUCUUUCUUGGAGAUGGUAAAGAAUGGAAUGGACACUGUAGAAAUGGAAUCAGUAAUGUCGAACAACCUGAAGAAACUCCCAGAAUGGAGAGAGAAAGCUUAAAGAGAAUGAGAAAAGAGAAAAAGGAAAAUGACUGAUAUGGAGGAAAGAGAACAAAGACCCAAUAAAAGAAUUAUGGACAUGUUUUUAUAGCAGAAAACAAAAAGUCCACUCAUUAAUGAUUAUUGGUGUAAAAAUCAUCCAUGAAAAUGGUAGUAAAUUGCGCUCCUGGAACAUCAAUCCCUGGUUAAUAAAUUUCAAAAUUCUCAAUUCAAAUAAGAAAUUAAGAAUUUUUUGAGCCCGAUUAUGAUAAAUACUAAAAAAUUUUCCUAAAAAGAUACAAAGUAAGAUUUGGAUAGAUACUCCUGGCCAGAAGAUCAGAUGGUGUAAAGAUAUACAUUCUUCCUAUGUUAUAUCAUGAUUUAAAUAGUUUUAAUAAAAAUCCUAACAGUAUGGGCUAAAGCAAAUCUAACAUUUGAAAAAGUGAAUCUAACAUUUAUCUGGAAGCAAAAAUGGUGCAAGUAGCCAGGACAUUUUUUUUAAGAGCUAUUAUAAUAGAUUGUAAUCAAAACAGCAUGGCGGUGGUAGAACUUGAUAGGCAGAGAAUGCACCGAGAAGAUGUCCCAGCAUUAUUUAAUGAUUCUUUCUCCUCUAAUUUCGAAUGCCAAAUUUAAUCAUAAACUCACUCUUCUAUAUAUAUACUAAAGUCUAUUUUUGGGAUAAGUGGUUAACAAUAUGAAAGAAAGUUGGCAUCCUUUCUCAAAGCAUACACCACAAUACAAAGACCAAAAGGACUAAAUAGUCAAAUGCACAAAAGGAAGCCAAAAUAAAAUAUGGAUGGCUGUAUCUCUGAUCUUGAGCUUGGUUUAGUUUGUCUAUGUAUAAUGAGAUGGGGAAAAUUUUAUUCACCACAAUUCCACUUAUGAAUGGAACUCAUUUGUGGGAGAAAGUUCAUGAAGUAGAAAGGGAGACAGUAGAGGGUCUGAGUAAUAAACAUUGCUCUGUGGGAGACAAGAAGAAUUUCCCUGAUACUCUAACAAAGAAAGGAGAAGGGAGACAAAGGGAAGCAAAAGGAAGUAAAACAAAGGAAGCCAUCAUGAUGUGUGUGGAGGGGAAGAGGAAGUAGUGUCUAGAAGCAACAAGACGUUGAACUGUUACCAACUGCCAAAUUGGAGUCUGGGCGGGUUUUCAGCAGUCUCUAUAGGGCAGGAGGUGCCCGUCAAGGAUCUGGGUUAAAUGAGUGUAAAAGCAGUGGAGGAAAUCUCGAAGAGGAGCAAUUGGCAGAUUUUCUAACGUCAGAUUAGAAAUUUUUGUACAUCAGGGUUUAUAAACUACAAGGGAUCAAAUCUGGCCAUUCCCUUGAGUUUUUGUAUUAUCUGUCUCUGUUUUCCAGCUACCAUGGCAGCAUUGAGAAGUCGUGAUGGAGAACAUAUGGCCCACAAAGGCUAAAAUAUUUACUAUCUGGCCCUUUAAAGAAAAACUUUGCUAAUCCAAGCUCUACAUAAAAAAUAUCACAAUUAAAAGGCAAACUCAGAGAGGCUGGCCUGAUGGCAUAGCGGUUAAGUGCACGUGCUCUGCUUCAGCGGCCUGGGGUUGGCAGGUUCAGAGCCUGAGUGUGGACCAAGCACCGCUCGGUCAAGUCACACUGUGGCGGCAUCCCACAUAAAAUAGAGGAAGACUGGCACAGAUGUUAGCUCAGUGACAACCUUCCUCACCAAAAUUAAAAAAAAAAAGGCAAACUCAGAAACAAAAUGAAAUACUUGACACAAAUAGACUAAAGCAAACAAUAAUACCCUAAGUCUGCAAAGGGCUCUUUUAAAUUUAUUGAAAAACAGUCAGUUGGCAAUAGGCAGAGGACAUGAAUAGACAGUUCGUUGAAGAAAAAUACAAAGGUAUCAACACAUGAACCAAUGGAAGUCUGGCCUCACUAGGGAGCAAUCAAGGGACAGUGGAAUCAACCACAAUCAUGCCACAGUGUUUGGAGUAAGGAUGUUGUGAUGUGGACAGCUUCCCAUACUGUCGGUUGGAACACAUUAGAACCCUAAAAUAACGACACAAAGGUUACACCCUUUGAUCCAGAAAUUCCACUUCUGAGAAGCUAUCUUGAGAAACUAUUUGCAGAUACAAAUAUGUAAAGGACACUUCCUUGGAUUCAGCCUUCCCAGGCCAACUUGCCAAAUUAAUGAGGAAUAAAGCUUCCGUCUACUCAACAGCUACCACCCUCUUCCCAUGGAUCGCGACUGAAAUGUACUGCUGCAAUGCCAUUCACGGCCUGGGAUAAAAAGAUGAGAAACUGAGGCCUGGAGAAGGCCCCACAGAUGGUUGAGGAGAGCCAGAUCAUGAACCAACAUCAUGGCACAUCUCGCCUGAAGAACCCACACCAGUUCCAGAGCCUUCAGGAAGUCCUUCCCAUCUACUCACUUCUUCCUGCCUCCAGUGGUUCUGGAAGAAUUCAGAGAAUGCCUCAUUUGCAGGGCUAAAAGAAGCCUAUGGAGGCUUCCAUUCCUGUCCUGGGCAUGUAGGCACAAACAAGAGUCAUCUCUACCCCCAGUAAGAAGGGUUACUGCAUAAGUGAGCACAACAGAAGAGAAGCCUGCCCAAGGCCUCCCCAGAGAUUUGGCUUUCUGCGUCCUGAAAAUUGGUUUCACCUAAGCCAAGAAACCAGUUAUCAGAUGGGAAUGGCAUUCUGUCAUCCCAGCCUGGGUCACCAGACGCCUAGAGGUGAGAGUCUUUGGGACAUAUUUCCCUGAUUAAACCAUCAUGGCAUCCUUCUGACAUGUAAGUGUGGAAGAAAGGAAUGUGUUACCGGGACCCAGUGAACAAAUCUUUUUAUAGCAUGACGUUGGACAUGAGGAUGUGGAUGCCUGAACACUAACAACACUUCAGUAAAGAACUAUCUUCAGUAGAGGCCCUCCCAAAUGCCAUCCCACAGUGACACAGAGGGAACAGUCUGAAGAAACUGCAAAGAGCUGCAUUAUUUGUAAGCAGAAAGUGGGAACCAGUUUGUAUCACAGCUGCUGAGGACAGAACAAAAACAAGUGGGCCUGAGAAGAUCAGAAGGAAAUAUGGGCCAACGGAGACUGCAGACUCUCUGUUUCCCAUUGUAGAUUUUUAAAACAUGAUAGUUUCUUCUAUCUGGGGAACUAUUUAAUUGUGGUCACUUUUGAAGGCAGAAGCCUAGUCUCCAGUUGGGGGAAUGGGACCAAUAUGGAUAAUAUAGCUUAAUCUGAUGCAGUCAAGAAGGGGUGGAGCAAGGAAAUGAAUAUUUAUUGAUUGUCUAUGAUGUGCUAGUCAUUUUUCAAUCAUUGACUUAUUUAAUCUUCCAAACCACACCAGGAGGUUGCUAUGACUAUCUCUCCCUUUCAAAACAGGAGGAUGGGGCUCAGGAAGCUAAGGGAACCUACAACCAAGGAGAGGUGGGAAGCGGAUCAGGGCUUUGAAGUCUUUUCUUACUAAGAACAAGGACAACCCCCAACCUCAGAUGCCAAUCAGUACAAUUAUGUUAUGAAAUUAAAUAUUUUCUUAAAAAGAAAAAGCAAGGAGGCAGCCUCUGGUAUAUAGUUUAUCUGCCAAGCACCAGUGCCUUUCCGUGGUUCUGACUCAGAGACUGCUUCCAUGGCCUUCUAGGCAAAGAACCUAGAGUUUUCUGCAUCCCUAUGCCCACCUCUGCCUGAUCCUUUU
RNAcentral lists this long non-coding RNA (5309 nucleotides) under Equus caballus (horse). Its description in RNAcentral is "lncRNA (ENSECAG00000042998.2)". Lineage: Eukaryota; Metazoa; Chordata; Mammalia; Perissodactyla; Equidae. The record is from RNAcentral.